GAUGAACGCUGGCGGCGUGCCUAAUACAUGCAAGUCGAGCGAACAGACGAGGAGCUUGCUCCUCUGACGUUAGCGGCGGACGGGUGAGUAACACGUGGAUAACCUACCUAUAAGACUGGGAUAACUUCGGGAAACCGGAGCUAAUACCGGAUAAUAUAUUGAACCGCAUGGUUCAAUAGUGAAAGACGGUUUUGCUGUCACUUAUAGAUGGAUCCGCGCCGCAUUAGCUAGUUGGUAAGGUAACGGCUACCAAGGCGACGAUGCGUAGCCGACCUGAGAGGGUGAUCGGCCACACUGGAACUGAGACACGGUCCAGACUCCUACGGGAGGCAGCAGUAGGGAAUCUUCCGCAAUGGGCGAAAGCCUGACGGAGCAACGCCGCGUGAGUGAUGAAGGUCUUCGGAUCGUAAAACUCUGUUAUUAGGGAAGAACAAAUGUGUAAGUAACUAUGCACGUCUUGACGGUACCUAAUCAGAAAGCCACGGCUAACUACGUG
This 496-nucleotide ribosomal RNA is filed under the name uncultured bacterium. RNAcentral describes it as "partial 16S ribosomal RNA". It matches the Rfam family "Bacterial small subunit ribosomal RNA", at positions 28 to 507 of the family's 1533-position model. The record is from RNAcentral.